GAAGGGGGCUAGCGUUGCUCGGAAUUACUGGGCGUAAAGGGCGCGUAGGCGGACAGUUAAGUCGGGGGUGAAAGCCCGGGGCUCAACCUCGGAAUUGCCUUCGAUACUGGCUGUCUUGAGUACGGGAGAGGUGUGUGGAACUCCGAGUGUAGAGGUGAAAUUCGUAGAUAUUCGGAAGAACACCAGUGGCGAAGGCGACACACUGGCCCGUUACUGACGCUGAGGCGCGAAAGCGUGGGGAGCAAACAGGAUUAGAUACCCUGGUAGUCCACGCCGUAAACGAUGAGUGCUAGUUGUCGGCAUGCAUGCAUGUCGGUGACGCAGCUAACGCAUUAAGCACUCCGCCUGGGGAGUACGGUCGCAAGAUUAAA
RNAcentral lists this ribosomal RNA (371 nucleotides) under uncultured bacterium. Its description in RNAcentral is "bacterial SSU rRNA". It matches the Rfam family "Bacterial small subunit ribosomal RNA", at positions 527 to 898 of the family's 1533-position model. The record is from RNAcentral.